RNAcentral lists this ribosomal RNA (292 nucleotides) under uncultured bacterium. RNAcentral describes it as "partial 16S ribosomal RNA". It matches the Rfam family "Archaeal small subunit ribosomal RNA", at positions 455 to 747 of the family's 1478-position model. The record is from RNAcentral.
GUGCCAGCCGCGCGGUAAUACCGGUAGCGCGAGUGAUGGCCGAUAUUAUUGGGCCUAAAGCGUCCGUAGCUGGCCGGACAAGUCCGUUGGGAAAUCCACCCGCUUAACGGGUGGGCGUCCAGCGGAAACUGUUCGGCUUGGAGCCGGAAGACCCGAGGGGUACGUCCGGGGUAGGAGUGAAAUCCUGUAAUCCUGGACGGACCGCCGGUGGCGAAAGCGCCUCGGGAAGACGGACCCGACAGUGAGGGACGAAAGCUGGGAUCUCGAACCGGAUUAGAUACCCGGGUAGUCC